Non-coding RNA from Acanthosepion pharaonis, 107 nucleotides. The record is from the annotation of a GenBank genome assembly. Lineage: Eukaryota; Metazoa; Mollusca; Cephalopoda; Sepiida; Sepiidae.
UAUUGCCACGUUGAAACACUGGUUCCUGUGCGAUCACCAAAGUUAAGCAACGUCAAGCCUGGUCAGUAACUAGAUGGGUAACCGCUUGAAAAUACCAGGUGCUGUAA